GAUGAACGCUGGCGGCGUGCUUAACACAUGCAAGUCGAACGGAAAGGCCCAAGCUUGCUUGGGUACUCGAGUGGCGAACGGGUGAGUAACACGUGGGUGAUCUGCCCUGCACUUCGGGAUAAGCCUGGGAAACUGGGUCUAAUACCGGAUAGGACCACUUCUUGGAUGUUGUGGUGGAAAGUUUUUUCGGUGUGGGAUGAGCUCGCGGCCUAUCAGCUUGUUGGUGGGGUAAUGGCCUACCAAGGCGUCGACGGGUAGCCGGCCUGAGAGGGUGUACGGCCACAUUGGGACUGAGAUACGGCCCAGACUCCUACGGGAGGCAGCAGUGGGGAAGAGUGCACAAUGGGCGCAAGCCUGAUGCAGCGACGCCGCGUGGGGGAUGACGGCCUUCGGGUUGUAAACUCCUUUCGCUAGGGACGAAGCGUUUUGUGACGGUACCUGGAGAAGAAGCACCGGCUAACUACGUG
RNAcentral lists this ribosomal RNA (467 nucleotides) under uncultured bacterium. Its description in RNAcentral is "partial 16S ribosomal RNA". It matches the Rfam family "Bacterial small subunit ribosomal RNA", at positions 28 to 507 of the family's 1533-position model. The record is from RNAcentral.